GAGUUUGAUCCUGGCUCAGAACGAACGCUGGCGGCGUGCUUAACACAUGCAAGUCAGGGAGAAAGUCUCUUCGGGGAUGAUUAAACCGGCGCACGGGUGAGUAACACGUGAGUGACCUGCCUUUUAGACUGGAACAACUUACCGAAAGGUGAGCUAAUGCCGGAUGAGUUAUAUAAGUGCAUGUUUAUAUAGGAAAAGUUGGGGAGACCUGACGCUGAAAGAUGGACUCGCGUCCCAUUAGCUAGUUGGUAGGGUAAUGGCCUACCAAGGCGACGAUGGGUAGCCGGCCUGAGAGGGUGGCCGGCCACACUGGGACUGAGACACGGCCCAGACUCCUACGGGAGGCAGCAGUGGGGAAUUUUGCGCAAUGCUCGUAAGAGUGACGCAGCGACGCCGCGUGAAUGACGAAGGCCUUCGGGUCGUAAAGUUCUUUCGACAGGGAAGAAAAUGCCUAUAAGUAACUGUGUAUGUAUUGACGGUACCUGUAUGAGCAGCCCCGGCUAACUCCGUGCCAGCAGCCGCGGUAAUACGGAGGGGGCGAGCGUUGUUCGGAGUGACUGGGCGUAGAGAGCACGUAGGCGGUGUUGUAAGUCAUUAGUCAAAGACUAGAGCUCAACUUUAGUAAGGCUAGUGAUACUAUAAUACUAGAGUAUCAG
This 656-nucleotide ribosomal RNA is filed under the name uncultured bacterium. RNAcentral describes it as "bacterial SSU rRNA". It matches the Rfam family "Bacterial small subunit ribosomal RNA", at positions 9 to 652 of the family's 1533-position model. The record is from RNAcentral.